Molecule: ribosomal RNA, 471 nt
Filed under: uncultured bacterium
Lineage: Bacteria
Description: partial 16S ribosomal RNA
Rfam family: Bacterial small subunit ribosomal RNA
Source: RNAcentral
GACGAACGCUGGCGGCGUGCUUAACACAUGCAAGUCGAACGAUGAAGCCUAGCUUGCUAGGUGGAUUAGUGGCGAACGGGUGAGUAAUACGUGAGUGACCUACCUUUGACUCUGGGAUAAGCCUGGGAAACUGGGUCUAAUACCGGAUACGACCAAUCUCCGCAUGGGGUGUUGGUGGAAAGCGUUAUGGAGUGGUUUUAGAUGGGCUCACGGCCUAUCAGCUUGUUGGGGAGGUAAUGGCUUACCAAGGCGACGACGGGUAGCCGGCCUGGGCGGGUGAGCGGCCACACUGGGACUGAGAUACGGCACAGACUCCUACGGGGGGCAGCAGUGGGGAAGAUUGCACAAUGGGCGCAAGCCUGAUGCAGCGACGCCGCGUGAGGGAUGACGGCCUUCGGGUUGUAAACCUCUGUUAGCAUCGAAGAAGAGAAAGUGACGGUAGGUGCAGAGAAAGCGCCGGCUAACUACGUG